AUUGAACGCUGGCGGCAGGCCUAACACAUGCAAGUCGAGCGGAUGAAGGGAGCUUGCUCCUGGAUUCAGCGGCGGGCGGGUGAGUAAUGCCUAGGAAUCUGCCUGGUAGUGGGGGAUAACGUCCGGAAACGGGCACUAAUACCGCAUACGUCCUGAGGGAGAAAGUGGGGGAUCUUCGGACCUCACGCUAUCAGAUGAGCCUAGGUCGGAUUAGCUAGUUGGUGGGGUAAAGGCCUACCAAGGCGACGAUCCGUAACUGGUCUGAGAGGAUGAUCAGUCACACUGGAACUGAGACACGGUCCGGACUCCUACGGGAGGCAGCAGUGGGGAAUAUUGGACAAUGGGCGAAAGCCUGAUCCAGCCAUGCCGCGUGUGUGAAGAAGGUCUUCGGAUUGUAAAGCACUUUAAGUUGGGAGGAGGGGCAGUAAGUUAAUACCUUGCUGUUUUGACGUUACCAACAGAAUAAGCACCGGCUAACUUCGUG
Molecule: ribosomal RNA, 484 nt
Filed under: uncultured bacterium
Lineage: Bacteria
Description: partial 16S ribosomal RNA
Rfam family: Bacterial small subunit ribosomal RNA
Source: RNAcentral